AAAUAAACUGGUGGAGUUACGAUGGUUAAUCCUUUACUGACAAGUAUUUUGCAUAAAUGAGCUUUCAAAAGGCAUCGGAAAGGACCACAUCCUGGAUCUGUGUACAAUUUGGAGCGAAGACUGGAAGUGAUGAUGUUCCAAGUUCCUACUACCUUUCUCCUUCCAGCAGAUGCAGUUUUGGGAAGGACUGUCAAAGAAACCUUGUUUAUUUCAGCAGCUUGCUAUCUUGUGAACUAAUCACUCAUGCCAUGGAAUCAAAAGCCUUGUUGAAAUCGAGCCAAAUUAUAAGAUUACAGCUGUCAAAUGAAGUCUGCCACAACCUUGAAGAAUUCUGCAUCAUUAUUAGACAAAAACCCUCCUGUGGGUUAUGUCGA
Long non-coding RNA from Pristis pectinata (smalltooth sawfish), 374 nucleotides. RefSeq lists it as uncharacterized. Lineage: Eukaryota; Metazoa; Chordata; Chondrichthyes; Rhinopristiformes; Pristidae. The record is from RefSeq and is a predicted model, not a curated record. The transcript is spliced from 3 exons.